Molecule: long non-coding RNA, 543 nt
Organism: Zea mays
Lineage: Eukaryota; Viridiplantae; Streptophyta; Magnoliopsida; Poales; Poaceae
Exons: 2
Source: RefSeq, a predicted model, not a curated record
GAUGGCGUUCGCAAAAGUAAAAUGCUGGGAGGUGAACCCCUUUUGCGUGGAGGAAUUGGAAUAGAAGAUUGGGGUGGUUGCGAAACAGACAAACAAUCUAGGAAGAAGCUAGAUUUUAACAUUGGAGGAGUGAGUAUGGAUAAACCAAUAAAUGAGAAACCAAAAGGAAGAAUGAUAAGAAGUGAUGAGGUAAGGACUGUAAAAUUAGGCGCCAAAGGAGAAAAAAGAUGAACAGAAGGUGCAAGAAGUGUGGGGUUGCAGAUGGUCAUAAUAGCAGAACCUGCCUUUCAGUUGAAGAAAAUAGAGUUCGUUUGGUAAGCCUUGCUAACCCAAGAAAAAAGGGCGUCCACCAGGGUCGAGGAACAUUAAUACAUCGAGAGAUCCCGAAUGGAAUGAAACAACUACUUCAAAGAAGGAUGCGAUGAGUGUAGAUACGACUGAUGAGUCUUAUAGUGAAAUUUAAUUGUACUUGAGUUGGAGGGCUUGUUGAUUACUGUUAAAAAUUUAUGAGAUGGAUAUAAAAUGGAUAAUAAUGUGGUUCAA